GAAAGUUUGGGAUAUGUCAUGUGAUACUAAACAUGCAUGUUCCACAAAUGUCCUGUCAAGUGAAGCAGAAAACUGGAAGGUGCGUGCAUUCCCUUGUGUAAUAAAGAGGCAGCAAGACAAACAGGACACCGACAGGAAUUCUAGGCUGUAAGACCUGCAUCCGUAAUGGAAGGAGACAUAAUGGGAGGAGUAACUGGGUCGCAGUGCACAGGGGCACAGCUGGCCUUGAGGAGCACCCAGCCUGCUGCUGGACGCACCUACCACCGUCAGCAGACGUACUGGACACAUCCCGUGAGUGCGCCUUGAAAUACAUGGAACCAUGUGUGACAGCUGCCUCACAGGGAUACUGACAUUUCAUGAUGACAACUGGCAGUGAAGAGGCUGCCAGGAGCACCUGUGCGCAGGCUGGUGAGAGCAAGUGGAAGCAGAAAUCGCGAAGGAUGA
This 444-nucleotide long non-coding RNA is filed under the name Chinchilla lanigera (long-tailed chinchilla). RNAcentral's name for it is "lncRNA (ENSCLAG00000028747.1)". The record is from RNAcentral. Lineage: Eukaryota; Metazoa; Chordata; Mammalia; Rodentia; Chinchillidae.